This 492-nucleotide ribosomal RNA is filed under the name uncultured bacterium. Its description in RNAcentral is "partial 16S ribosomal RNA". It matches the Rfam family "Bacterial small subunit ribosomal RNA", at positions 29 to 507 of the family's 1533-position model. The record is from RNAcentral.
AGUGAACGCUGGCGGUAGGCCUAACACAUGCAAGUCGAACGGCAGCACAGUAAGAGCUUGCUCUUACGGGUGGCGAGUGGCGGACGGGUGAGGAAUACAUCGGAAUCUACUUUUUCGUGGGGGAUAACGUAGGGAAACUUACGAUAAUACCGCAUACGACCUACGGGUGAAAGCAGGGGAUAUUCGGACCUUGCCCGAUUGAAUGAGCCGAUGUCGGAUUAGCUAGUUGGCGGGGUAAAGGCCCACCAAGGCGACGAUCCGUAGCUGGUCUGAGAGGAUGAUCAGCCACACUGGAACUGAGACACGGUCCAGACUCCUACGGGAGGCAGCAGUGGGGAAUAUUGGACAAUGGGCGCAAGCCUGAUCCAGCCAUACCGCGUGGGUGAAGAAGGCCUUCGGGUUGUAAAGCCCUUUUGUUGGGAAAGAAAAGCAGCAGGUUAAUACCCCGCUGUUCUGACGGUACCCAAAGAAUAAGCACCGGCUAACUUCGUG